RNAcentral lists this transfer RNA (85 nucleotides) under Felis catus (domestic cat). It matches the Rfam family "tRNA". Rfam says of the family: Transfer RNA (tRNA) molecules are approximately 80 nucleotides in length. The record is from Rfam by way of RNAcentral. Lineage: Eukaryota; Metazoa; Chordata; Mammalia; Carnivora; Felidae.
GCCUGGGUGGCUCAGUCGGUUGAGCGUCUGACUUCGGCUCAGGUCAUGAUCUCGCAGCCCGUGAGUUCGAGCCCCGCGUCGGGCU